GCAUUACGCACAGCAAAUAAGCCAAUCAGAGCCGAGUACGGUGAGCGAUUGAUUUUUCUGCUAUUGGCUAAUCGUCCUGAAUGCUAAGGAAACGAAAACUAGCACGUGGGUUAGAUAAUUCAGUAGGCGACCUCCAAAAAAUAAUUUAUUUCAGUACUUUACUGUUAUCUUUGGUGAUUAAAAACUCAUAUUAUUGGGUAAAAAUUAGAAUGUACUAUUCAGCUUGCUAUUAAGCAGGAAGACAAGCUUUCUAAUGACGGACAAGGAAGAUGAUGACUCCCAGCACAGAGCGAAUGAGGGUGACUCCGUUGUACUGAAACGGGGAGACAUCUAACGUUACAAAGCUGCGGAUUCAAAAGAAAAAGUUAGUCGUUACACAACUGUGCUCAUGCACAAUCACAUUAUCUAUUGGUGUGCAUUAGCUAACAAUGCUUGACAGUCAGGUCAAAUAUUUGCCUGUACUACCAACAUGCAAGCUAUGUGCCCGACCUCACUAAUGCUCUUGUAGCUGAAUGGAAGCAAGUCCCAGCAUCACUGUACCAACAUCUAGUGGAAAGCCUUCCCAGAAGAGUGGAGGCUGUUAUAGCAGCAACAGGCGGACCAACUCCAUAUCAAUGACCAUGAUUUUGGAAUGAGAUGUUUGACAAGCAGGUGUCCACAUACACUACAUAACCACAAAUGCUGGACAGGCCAAUGGAGAUAAGUCCAACCUGACCCAGAGAAAGCAGAAGGCAAUGGGGGCAGCCCAGACACAGAGGACCAGAGCAUGGAGACUAGUACCAGUACAGACCCUGCCGAGGACAAGGAGAGGGAGAAACAGAGAGAGAUCAGAGCCCAGGAGAAGAUGGAGAAGAGGAAGAAACUGCUGCUGCUGCAGGCCUUCUUCCAUCCUCCCUCCUUUGAAGUACUCACUAAUCUCACCAAAUUGGUUAGGUUGGUGAUAGCCAGUCGGUUUAACCCCUGUCCAGUUCUACUGGGCCUCAUCAAGUUCCUCGCCCCCUCCUCCUCGACCCUUUGCAGUGUACUCUCAAUAUAAAGAGGUAUGUAUCUGAGUGUUCUCUAGUAUGCUUCCUAGUGUGCUCUAGUGUGUGUGUUGUGUAUUUAAUAAGCAUAUUACUGU
RNAcentral lists this long non-coding RNA (1120 nucleotides) under Oncorhynchus kisutch (coho salmon). Its description in RNAcentral is "lncRNA (ENSOKIG00005037298.1)". Lineage: Eukaryota; Metazoa; Chordata; Actinopteri; Salmoniformes; Salmonidae. The record is from RNAcentral.